CCUACGGGAGGCAGCAGUGAGGAAUAUUGGUCAAUGGACGCGAGCCUGAUCCAGCCAAGUAGCGUGAAGGAUGACUGCCCUACGGGUUGUAAACUUCUUUUAUAAAGGAAUAAAGUGAGGCACGUGUGCCUUUUUGUAUGUACUUUAUGAAUAAGGAUCGGCUAACUCCGUGCCAGCAGCCGCGGUAAUACGGAGGAUCCGAGCGUUAUCCGGAUUUAUUGGGUUUAAAGGGAGCGUAGAUGGGUUGUUAAGUCAGUUGUGAAAGUUUGCGGCUCAACCGUAAAAUUGCAAUUGAUACUGGCAGUCUUGAGUACAGUUGAGGUAGGCGGAAUUCGUGGUGUAGCGGUGAAAUGCUUAGAUAUCACGAAGAACUCCGAUUGUGAAGGCAGCUUACUAAACUGCCACUGACAUUGAUGCUCGAAAGUGUGGGUAUCAAACAGGAUUAGAUACCCUAGUAGUC
This 460-nucleotide ribosomal RNA is filed under the name uncultured bacterium. RNAcentral's name for it is "partial 16S ribosomal RNA". It matches the Rfam family "Bacterial small subunit ribosomal RNA", at positions 338 to 795 of the family's 1533-position model. The record is from RNAcentral.